ACUUNCAUGGNAGCAAGUCUGAUGGAGCAACGCCGCGUGAGUGAAGAAGGUUUUCGGAUCGUAAAGCUCUGUUGUUGGUGAAGAAGGAUAGAGGUAGUAACUGGCCUUUAUUUGACGGUAAUCAACCAGAAAGUCACGGCUAACUACGUGCCAGCAGCCGCGGUAAUACA
This 170-nucleotide ribosomal RNA is filed under the name uncultured Lactobacillus sp. RNAcentral describes it as "partial 16S ribosomal RNA". It matches the Rfam family "Bacterial small subunit ribosomal RNA", at positions 362 to 527 of the family's 1533-position model. The record is from RNAcentral. Lineage: Bacteria; Bacillati; Bacillota; Bacilli; Lactobacillales; Lactobacillaceae.